RNAcentral lists this unclassified non-coding RNA (23 nucleotides) under Dictyostelium discoideum. Lineage: Eukaryota; Evosea; Eumycetozoa; Dictyosteliales; Dictyosteliaceae. The record is from RNAcentral.
UUACAAUGUUGUUAAGACCUGAA